GGCCUUUCACAUCUGGCCGACGACGCCUAUAUUAGGGGCGUCGGGCAACCGACUAUGGCGAUAAACGCCUUGUGGAAUAAGCGUUACGGACCCGGGGGCGGUACCCGGCGCCUCCACCAUUAAUCCUUUCACCGCAGCCAGUUAGGCUACCGGCGGGGCAAAUGGGGGCGAAACAGGAUCGACGUGCGCGGUAAAGACAUGGCUUUUGCUCGGUAUGGUACCCGCCGUUAUCGGGCCAACCCUAGAGAUGCCAACGACAACGUUGCAUCUGAUCUUCGUAUGGCUGCCUAACAUCCCUAACGGGCUGUAAGUAGCUUACAAGAACGCGGUACCCGGGGGGCGCCGGGCAACAGAAAGCCCCCCACC
Molecule: transfer-messenger RNA, 366 nt
Filed under: Rhodospirillaceae bacterium
Lineage: Bacteria; Pseudomonadati; Pseudomonadota; Alphaproteobacteria; Rhodospirillales; Rhodospirillaceae
Rfam family: Alphaproteobacteria transfer-messenger RNA
About the family: Bacterial tmRNA, also known as 10Sa RNA or SsrA, is named for its dual tRNA and mRNA-like properties. Its role is to liberate the mRNA from a stalled ribosome. To accomplish this part of the tmRNA is used as a reading frame that ends in a translation stop signal.
Source: RNAcentral